UGGUGCUUCUGCAGUCUUCACAGCUGCCAGCGCCGCAGCAUCGCCUCUCGGUGCACUACGCUUAGCACUACGGCCUUCUGAAAUACAGGGAUUUUAUCCUUCCCGCAAGGAGAGGUUAGAUAAUGAACUGCAGUCUCACAGUGACUUACUCCCACUGCAACAACUACUGUUCGAAAUGUUAACCCUGUCUGAGCAGAGCGGAUAAAGGGAAACCAGCUUUCAUAAUAUGUGAUGCAGAGCGACACGGAGCUGCAUGAGGAAAAAGACUACCAAGCUAAAGGAAAAAGCAUAUGUUACCUGGUAUUAGCAACAGUGGGACAUGUGUCACCCAACCCACUCCACGCUGCUCAAUGAAGAGACACCUGAACUGGAGCCCAAAUAGUACGAAACCCAGGCUCCCAAUCUUGAUUCCAUCUGCUGCAGUACGUAGCAUCAUGUAACCCCUGUACAGAGAAUGUGCAUUAGGAGACACAACUCACCAAGGACUCUGCUCCACUGCCUGCAUUUACUUCUUUUUAAGAGAAGAGAUUUCAAAUGAAAUAUAUGAAGCCAGUGCAAAAAAACCCCAAAUGUGUUCCUCUCAAAUUCAAGCAGGUGGAAGGAAAACAUUUUCAUUUUCUUCUUCUGGAGGGAAAAACAAAAGCAUAACAUUUCCAGAGUGGCACAGUCACACUUCCCAGAGGCGUUUCCACGUAAAAGCAAACCCUGUCAAUGGGCAAUUUCAUUUUCUUGAAAUGGAAUUUUCCCUCAAUAAAUGAAUGAACCUACUUCAUUUUUAACCUCAAACUUUCUAUUGUUAAUCUGUAAAGCACAGUAAUGUUACCUAUUCAUCUCUUUGAGAUGUUAUAAAAAUAAAGCCCUGUGAAGCCCUCAGUUGUUACAGCAAUUAGCAUCAUAGGAAAAGGCCAAUGAUGAAACGAAGGAAGUUGUCUCCAGAACGGGGUUUAAAUCAUGCAUGAACUGUAUGUUAACCUUAAGACCCACAUAAAACGAUGAGGAGGAAAAAAAUAUACUGAGGCAAAAAUCCUGCAAGAAUAAAUAUGCUGUCUGCUGACAUAAUUAAAGGCUCCACAGCUCACACAGGCACCUUCUUUCUGACAUUUCCUGUGAGAUUGUUAGGCGACUUGGCAACCAGAAGAGUGUUUUUAUUAGUUAAUGAUUUUUGUGUCAAAUUCUAUUUGAUUUGCCUCAUACAUGUAAUUUGGUCUUUCACCUGGAUACUUGAGGAAAUUAUGAAUUUGUAAGUUCUUUCUUCCAUUAGACUAGGUACCUCAUAAAUAUAUCUAAA
This is a long non-coding RNA of Grus americana (Whooping crane), 1288 nucleotides long. RefSeq lists it as uncharacterized. The transcript has 4 exons. NCBI's taxonomy places the organism in Eukaryota, Metazoa, Chordata, Aves, Gruiformes, Gruidae. The record is from RefSeq and is a predicted model, not a curated record.